ACAGAUGGUUUAUCAUACCACCAUCUGCCAGAGAAUUACAAGUGAAAAACUUAAAACUCUAAGGACUUGACGGUGCCCCACACCAGCCUAGAGGAGCCUGUCCUAUAAUCGAUACCCCACGCUCCACCUCACCCCCCCUUGCCAAACCCCGCCUAUAUACCGCCGUCGUCAGCCCACCUACUGAUAGCAACAAAAGUCAGCAUAAUAGCACCCCGCUAGCACGUCAGGUCAAGGUGUAGCUCAUGGGGGGGACUAAGAUGGGCUACAUUUGCUAACCUAUAGCAAACCCACUGAGAGCCCCAUGAAACAAAGGGCCAGAAGGCGGAUUUAGCAGUAAACACCGGCAAGACAUGCCCACUUGAACACCGCUCUGGGGCGCGUACACACCG
This 389-nucleotide ribosomal RNA is filed under the name Homonota uruguayensis (Uruguay marked gecko). RNAcentral describes it as "partial 12S ribosomal RNA". It matches the Rfam family "Bacterial small subunit ribosomal RNA", at positions 845 to 1392 of the family's 1533-position model. Lineage: Eukaryota; Metazoa; Chordata; Lepidosauria; Squamata; Phyllodactylidae. The record is from RNAcentral.